This is a long non-coding RNA of Melanotaenia boesemani (Boeseman's rainbowfish), 277 nucleotides long. RefSeq lists it as uncharacterized. The transcript is spliced from 2 exons. Lineage: Eukaryota; Metazoa; Chordata; Actinopteri; Atheriniformes; Melanotaeniidae. The record is from RefSeq and is a predicted model, not a curated record.
UACUUUGAUGAAGUCAACGUUAAAUUAACAACAUACAGUCAUACUUCUUUUCUUCUUUUAAAUAGGGACAAAUCAUUUGCUAUGUGGUGUCAUUUUUUUAAAAUAAUGUUGCAGGAAAAAAUAAAAAUCAGUACAAAGGAUACAUGUGUUAAAAAGUUAUAUAGCAGAUUUUGAUGACCCCUAUUUAUUCACUUGGGGAUAUGGUUACAGAAGUUAGGGUUAGGGUUUUCAGGCUCCCAAAACGGCAGCUCUGUGUGAACAAAAUGUCCAGGUCAUU